AAUGGUACCGAUAGAACCUCUCUGCAAAAAUAAUUACAUCCAUAAUUCCCCUGACAACUCUAAAAUUCAAUAUUGACAAAUUGAACUUUCAAGCAGUGUACCAAGUUCAAUUGGAGAACAAGAUGAAUUUUGACUCACUAACAAGAUCAGAGGGAAUCAGAGAAUGCCUGCCUAAUAUAUAACUAUGGGCUAGGUCUAUUGGCAACAGUUGAGUGGAUAUGCAUAGCAGAUCUCAUGGUCAGCAGAUUCAAACUCUACCAAGUGACUAGAUGAAGCAGAGAAAUGAACACAGCAGAUAGUGGCCGAAUUCCAAAUGGUAUCCAUAGAGCCACUAUGCAAAUAGUUAUACUCAAAAUUCUUCUCACUACUCUGAAAGUAAAAACUAAAAACUGCAGCACAUACAUAAAUUGAACUUUCAAGAAGUUACCAAUUUUAAGGAGAUAAGGGAUAUUUUAGAUUCAGUAAUAGGAUUGAAGAAGUUAGACUGCCCACCAAACACAACCCCAUGUGUUAAGUCCACUGUCAGCAAAUUAAGGGUAUAUGCAUACUCACUACAAAAGAAAAACUGAUAAUCCAAUUCCAACAGCAAUUUAGACAAAGAAAAAUCUCGUCCAUGGCUAUACCAGCUUGUCAGUUACAGCCAAAGCAUGUCCCUCUAGGCAAAAGCAAAAUGAUG
Molecule: unclassified non-coding RNA, 676 nt
Filed under: Hevea brasiliensis (rubber tree)
Lineage: Eukaryota; Viridiplantae; Streptophyta; Magnoliopsida; Malpighiales; Euphorbiaceae
Source: RNAcentral